RNAcentral lists this ribosomal RNA (1464 nucleotides) under uncultured marine bacterium. RNAcentral's name for it is "16S ribosomal RNA". It matches the Rfam family "Bacterial small subunit ribosomal RNA". The record is from RNAcentral.
AAUGAACGCUGGCGGCACGCUUAACACAUGCAAGUCGAACGAGAUCUUCGGAUCUAGUGGCAGACGGGUGCGUAACGCGUGGGAACCUGCCCUUUAGUAAGGAAUAACUCAGGGAAACUUGUGCUAAUACCUUAUAAUCCCUUCGGGGGAAAGCUUUAUGCGCUAAUGGAUGGGCCCGCGUUAGAUUAGCUUGUUGGUGAGGUAAUGGCUCACCAAGGCGACGAUCUAUAGCUGGUCUGAGAGGAUGAUCAGCCACACUGGGACUGAGACACGGCCCAGACUCCUACGGGAGGCAGCAGUGGGGAAUAUUGGACAAUGGGGGCAACCCUGAUCCAGCGAUGCCGCGUGAGUGAUGAAGGCCCUAGGGUUGUAAAACUCUUUCGCCAGGGAAGAUAAUGACGGUACCUGGUAAAGAAGAUCCGGCUAACUCCGUGCCAGCAGCCGCGGUAAUACGGAGGGAUCUAGCGUUAUUCGGAAUAACUGGGCGUAAAGCGAGCGUAGGCGGAUUUGUAAGUUGGAGGUGAAAUCCCAGGGCUUAACCCUGGAACUGCCUUCAAAACUACAUUUCUUGAGUUUGGUAGAGGAGAGUGGAAUUCCUAGUGUAGAGGUGAAAUUCGUAGAUAUUAGGAGGAACACCAGUGGCGAAGGCGACUCUCUGGGCCAAUACUGACGCUGAGGUUCGAAAGCGUGGGGAGCGAACGGGAUUAGAUACCCCGGUAGUCCACGCAGUAAACGAUGAGUGCUAGAUGUUGGGAACAUUAGUUUUCAGUAUCGCAGCUAACGCGUUAAGCACUCCGCCUGGGAAGUACGGCCGCAAGGCUAAAACUCAAAUGAAUUGACGGGGACCCGCACAAGCGGUGGAUCAUGUGGUUUAAUUCGAAGCAACGCGAAGAACCUUACCGGCUCUUGACAUACCAAUCGCGGAUCUAAGAGAUUAGAUCCUUCACUUCGGGUGGAUUGGAUACAGGUGCUGCAUGGCUGUCGUCAGCUCGUGUCGUGAGAUGUUGGGUUAAGUCCCGCAACGAGCGCAACCCCUACCUUCAAUUGCCAGCACGUUAUGGUGGGAACUUUGAAGGAACUGCCGGUGAUAAGCCGGAGGAAGGUGGGGAUGACGUCAAGUCCUCAUGGCCCUUACGGGCCGGGCUACACACGUGAUACAAUGGUGAUUACAAAGGGCUGCUACAGAGCGAUCUCAAGCAAAUCCUUAAAAGUCAUCUCAGUUCGGAUUGCACUCCGCAACUCGAGUGCAUGAAGUUGGAAUCGCUAGUAAUCGUAGAUCAGCGCGCUACGGUGAAUACGUUCCCGGGUCUUGUACACACCGCCCGUCACACCAUGGGAGUUGGUUUUACCUGAAGCUAGUUCGCUAACCGCAAGGAGGCAGCUAACCACGGUAAGAUUAGCGACUGGGGUGAAGUCGUAACAAGGUAACCGUAGGGGAACCUGCGGUUGGAUCACCUCCUUUCU